This is a non-coding RNA of Camellia sinensis, 760 nucleotides long. The record is from RefSeq and is a predicted model, not a curated record. Lineage: Eukaryota; Viridiplantae; Streptophyta; Magnoliopsida; Ericales; Theaceae.
AGGAAGCGGGUCAAACUGUUGGGGGAAGAGGUACUUAUCUGUGGAACUUGAAAUUCUUAUUAUAUAUAUCUUUUACCAUUAUGCUCAAUAGUUUAAAAUCCAACUUUUUAUUCUUUGGCCUCACCUGAGAUGCCUGCAAUAGACUUGCUUCAGUCAUGUAAUUGGUUUGUUGAAUGUCGCUUAAUUACAGUGGAGCUUGUCAUUUAUGUUGUCACCUUGUCUUGCAACAUCUAUUUCAAGUUUAAAAUUCUUUGCAAACCCCAUGACCGCGCAUCCUUAGCACCGUCGGUCCCCGUACACUGUAAAUCAGCACCGUCACAGCCACUAAUAGCUUUCUGCUUUGUUUUCUGACAAAGGACUUUACAUCCGUGAGGCACACGUGUUCUCAACUACUGGUGGUUAUUCUUUGGAUGUAUUUGUGGUGGAUGGAUGGCCUGUUGAGGAUACAAAGGGAUUAUGUGAAGCUAUGGACAAAGCAAUUGCUAGAAAUGAGACUGAUAAGGAACACUGUUGGAAGUGGAUCAUUCCCACCGCAAUUGCGGAUACACUGUCACAAGCAUGAAUUGUCUUAUUGAGAUUGUCUACAUCUCAAUCCAUGCAGUUUCCUUCAAUUUGGUAUGGCCAUACUCUAAUGUUGAACUUGUGCUGAGUUAAAAUGUGUUUUUGUUUUCACAAUUAAUUGAGGUAGAAUUUCACUUGUCUUGUGUAAUUAUAAUCUAUAUUAUGUGAUGCAGUACUAACAUAAAAAUAUACGUUCUUG